RNAcentral lists this ribosomal RNA (253 nucleotides) under uncultured bacterium. Its description in RNAcentral is "partial 16S ribosomal RNA". It matches the Rfam family "Bacterial small subunit ribosomal RNA", at positions 524 to 776 of the family's 1533-position model. The record is from RNAcentral.
UACAGAGACUGCAAGCGUUAUUCGGAUUCACUGGGCGUAAAGGGUGCGCAGGCGGCCAAGUGUGUGAGGCGUGAAAGCCCGGGGCUUAACCCCGGAAUUGCACCUCAAACUACAUGGCUAGAGCAUCGGAGAGGGUAGCGGAAUUCACGGUGUAGCAGUGAAAUGCGUAGAUAUCGUGAGGAACACCAGAGGCGAAGGCGGCUACCUGGACAAUUGCUGACGCUCAGGCACGAAAGCGUGGGGAGCAAAAGGG